GUUCCUAAACACCUUCACAUAAUUAGCUGUGCAGGUCAAUGGGCCCUUUGUGGUUAGAAGCUGAGAAUCGUACAGCUGCUCUCCUUUGCAGAAAGAGGAAACAUGCUUCCAACUCAAACAACACUGAUUCUGAGAGGCAAAAAUCACUCGCAGCCACCCCUCCCCAGUUUACUUCAGGUGACUCAUUCUGCACUUGCUGGAUGGCUUGUGACUCACUACAUUGUUAGACAUGUCAGUGUGAUGGAAAAUGAUCUGCUUGAGCUCUGA
This is a long non-coding RNA of Lacerta agilis (Sand lizard), 267 nucleotides long. RefSeq lists it as uncharacterized. The record is from RefSeq and is a predicted model, not a curated record. NCBI's taxonomy places the organism in Eukaryota, Metazoa, Chordata, Lepidosauria, Squamata, Lacertidae. The transcript has 2 exons.